AUGACAGAUAAAUCACAAUGGCCACCUGUGGAGCUACCAUUUGUUGUGGGGGCACCACUUGCGAAAAGAAAUAAAGGAAGACAAAGGAAAUUGAGGAUCAAAGGAUGUCUUGAAGGUGGCCACAAGAAAAAAGGUGACAAUGAUGCUCCGAAGGAUGAUGAUAGCACCGCUCCCACCAAUUCUAAGGGAAAGAAAAUGAUUAGAGGGCCAGUGACUUGCAAGAAAUGUGGUGAAAAGGGUCAUAGGCAAGCUAGUUACAAGUGUCCACUCAAUGGAACCAAAAAAUGGAAGAGGAAGCCUAGAAAGAACAGUACAAAAGCUAGGCCAGCUGAACCUAGCACCCCACAAAGACCUACUAGAGAACAAAUAUUGCAGGACAGUCCAAGCAUGGUCACUAGAAGCCGCCUUGCUAUCUUGUUGGGAGAGGGUAGUUCUUCACAAACCACUAAAACUACCCCUGAGAGGAUGCCAACAGCAGCUCCACCAAAGAAGAUGACCCCAAGGAGGAUGCCAGCCACAGCUCCACCAAAGAAGAUGACUCCAAAGAGGAAGUUAUCUAUUUGA
This 564-nucleotide ribosomal RNA is filed under the name Triticum aestivum (bread wheat). RNAcentral's name for it is "partial small subunit ribosomal RNA". The record is from RNAcentral. Lineage: Eukaryota; Viridiplantae; Streptophyta; Magnoliopsida; Poales; Poaceae.